RNAcentral lists this ribosomal RNA (238 nucleotides) under uncultured bacterium. RNAcentral describes it as "partial 16S ribosomal RNA". It matches the Rfam family "Bacterial small subunit ribosomal RNA", at positions 96 to 334 of the family's 1533-position model. The record is from RNAcentral.
CGGCGGACGGGUGAGUAACGCGUGGGUAACUUACCCUGUACACACGGAUAACAUACCGAAAGGUAUGCUAAUACGGGAUAAUAUAUUUGAGAGGCAUCUCUUGAAUAUCAAAGGUGAGCCAGUACAGGAUGGACCCGCGUCUGAUUAGCUAGUUGGUAAGGUAACGGCUUACCAAGGCGACGAUCAGUAGCCGACCUGAGAGGGUGAUCGGCCACAUUGGAACUGAGACACGGUCCAA